Molecule: long non-coding RNA, 604 nt
Filed under: Homo sapiens (human)
Lineage: Eukaryota; Metazoa; Chordata; Mammalia; Primates; Hominidae
Description: HSALNT0320943
Source: RNAcentral
CAAGGUUCCAGAAGUUUCCAUACUAAUAGAAACAGAUACUAAGUGAAGUUUGAGGGGCCCUCACAAUCUGGAUAGAAAACUCUUCAAGUAGAUCUCAACCUUCAGGCUGGAAUAUCUUUGCUUAGCUAUCCCAGCCAGAGGACCAUAGUGGUUGAUUUCAAAAGGAGUUGCAAUUAUUCUAUCUUGUAAAUUCUCUCAUUGUUAAGUUUUGUCACAGUUUGUUGUUGCUACUUUCUUUCAGUUACCUAGAAAAUGUUUUCUCUGAAAACCUCUAUCCAUGCCUCAACAGAUCGGAGAUAAAAAAGGAAUCAUCUUACAAGAUUAUCAAGAAAGAUAAUGGGCUAGGUGUAUCCUUAAAAGUCCCCUCCCUUCAACAAUUAUAUACAGUACACUAUUUGUUGGAAGCUCAGGAGAAAAAGGGCAUUUAAGAGCAUGAGAUUUGGUGGCAGACUGACCUAAUAGUAGAUGGUACCAGUGAGAUCUUGAGCAACGUAAAUGUUUCAACUGAAAAACGAAAACCUUUUUUUGGAAAGAAUCGAAACUAAAAACCCAACUAUUUAAAAAAUGGAAACUUUUGGCCGGGAACGGAGGCUCACACCUAUAA